CCCCUGGAGUUGGUAGAAUGCUAUUGGACAGUUAAAAUGACCCAGGAUUGGCAGAACUCUACUGGACAGUUUAAAUAUGAUUCAGGAGAUGGUUGAAUGCUAUGGGUCACUCUUUCUACCAACUCAAAGCCAUUAAAAGUUUAAAAUAAUAUAUUU
Molecule: long non-coding RNA, 156 nt
Organism: Dermochelys coriacea (leatherback sea turtle)
Lineage: Eukaryota; Metazoa; Chordata; Testudines; Dermochelyidae
Exons: 2
Source: RefSeq, a predicted model, not a curated record